RNAcentral lists this ribosomal RNA (450 nucleotides) under uncultured bacterium. RNAcentral describes it as "bacterial SSU rRNA". It matches the Rfam family "Bacterial small subunit ribosomal RNA", at positions 354 to 796 of the family's 1533-position model. The record is from RNAcentral.
GUGGGGAAUAUUGGACAAUGGGCGAAAGCCUGAUCCAGCCAUGCCGCGUGUGUGAAGAAGGUCUUCGGAUCGUAAAGCACUUUAAGUUGGGAGGAAGGGUAGUAACCUAAUACGUUGCUACUUUGACGUUACCGACAGAAUAAGCACCGGCUAACUUCGUGCCAGCAGCCGCGGUAAUACGAAGGGUGCAAGCGUUAAUCGGAAUUACUGGGCGUAAAGCGCGCGUAGGUGGUUCAGUAAGUUGGAAGUGAAAUCCCCGGGCUCAACCUGGGAACUGCUUUCCAAACUGCUGAGAUAGAGUACGGUAGAGGGUGGUGUAAUUUCCUGUGUAGCGGUGAAAUGCGUAGAUAUAGGAAGGAACACCAGUGGCGAAGGCGACUACCUGGACUGAUACUGACACUGAGGUGCGAAAGCGUGGAGAGCAAACAGGAUUAGAAACCCCUGUAGUCC